This 399-nucleotide ribosomal RNA is filed under the name uncultured Streptococcus sp. Its description in RNAcentral is "bacterial SSU rRNA". It matches the Rfam family "Bacterial small subunit ribosomal RNA", at positions 986 to 1382 of the family's 1533-position model. The record is from RNAcentral. Lineage: Bacteria; Bacillati; Bacillota; Bacilli; Lactobacillales; Streptococcaceae.
AUCCGAUGCCUAGUUCUACGAGAGUAGAAGGUACUUCCGGUACGGAUCGGUGACAGGUGGUGCAUGGUUGUCGUCAGCUCGUGUCGUGAGAUGUUGGGUUAAGUCCCGCAACGAGCGCAACCCCUAUUGUUAGUUGCCAUCAUUCAGUUGGGCACUCUAGCGAGGCUGCCGGUAAUAAACCGGAGGAAGGUGGGGAUGACGUCAAAUCAUCAUGCCCCUUAUGACCUGGGCUACACACGUGCUACAAUGGUUGGUACAACGAGUUGCGAGUCGGUGACGGCGAGCUAAUCUCUUAAAGCCAAUCUCAGUUCGGAUUGUAGGCUGCAACUCGCCUACAUGAAGUCGGAAUCGCUAGUAAUCGCGGAUCAGCACGCCGCGGUGAAUACGUUCCCGGGCCUU